RNAcentral lists this transfer RNA (73 nucleotides) under Trachymyrmex cornetzi. It matches the Rfam family "tRNA". From Rfam's summary of the family: Transfer RNA (tRNA) molecules are approximately 80 nucleotides in length. Their secondary structure includes four short double-helical elements and three loops (D, anti-codon, and T loops). Lineage: Eukaryota; Metazoa; Arthropoda; Insecta; Hymenoptera; Formicidae. The record is from Rfam by way of RNAcentral.
GCCUCGGUGGCUUAAAGACUUAGGACGCUUGCCCGAAAAACAAGAGAUCCGGGUUCGACUCCCGGCCAAAGUA